This 273-nucleotide ribosomal RNA is filed under the name uncultured Staphylococcus sp. RNAcentral's name for it is "partial 16S ribosomal RNA". It matches the Rfam family "Bacterial small subunit ribosomal RNA", at positions 89 to 355 of the family's 1533-position model. The record is from RNAcentral. Lineage: Bacteria; Bacillati; Bacillota; Bacilli; Caryophanales; Staphylococcaceae.
ACGUUAGCGGCGGACGGGUGAGUAACACGUGGGUAACCUACCUAUAAGACUGGGAUAACUUCGGGAAACCGGAGCUAAUACCGGAUAAUAUUUCGAGCCGCAUGGUUCGAUAGUGAAAGGUGGUUUUGCUAUCACUCAUAGAUGGACCCGCGCCGUAUUAGCUAGUUGGUAAGGUAACGGCUUACCAAGGCGACGAUACGUAGCCGACCUGAGAGGGUGAUCGGCCACACUGGAACUGAGACACGGUCCAGACUCCUACGGGAGGCAGCAGCC